RNAcentral lists this transfer RNA (74 nucleotides) under Candidatus Bipolaricaulota bacterium. RNAcentral describes it as "tRNA-Gly". It matches the Rfam family "tRNA". From Rfam's summary of the family: Transfer RNA (tRNA) molecules are approximately 80 nucleotides in length. Lineage: Bacteria; Candidatus Bipolaricaulota. The record is from RNAcentral.
GCGGGUAUAGCUCAAUGGUAGAGCACUGGCCUUCCAAGCCAGGGACACGGGUUCGAUUCCCGUUACCCGCUCCA